RNAcentral lists this ribosomal RNA (838 nucleotides) under Rymosia sp. ER-03. Its description in RNAcentral is "bacterial SSU rRNA". It matches the Rfam family "Eukaryotic small subunit ribosomal RNA", at positions 490 to 1250 of the family's 1831-position model. The record is from RNAcentral. Lineage: Eukaryota; Metazoa; Arthropoda; Insecta; Diptera; Mycetophilidae.
UCACAUCCGAGGCCUUGUAAUUGGAAUGAGUACACUUUAAAUCCUUUAACAAGGAUCAAUUGGAGGGCAAGUCUGGUGCCAGCAGCCGCGGUAAUUCCAGCUCCAAUAGCGUAUAUUAAAGUUGUUGCGGUUAAAACGUUCGUAGUUGAACUUGUGUUUCGCACGGGCAGCUACCAUAGGCUAGUUUACUGGCCAGGUAACUUGUCUUAUCUUGCCUUGGCCCCGUGCCUUGGUAAAAGUGCGUGGACGUAUUAUCGGCGUGUUCGCUCUUGCAGCGUUCACAUAAGCUUACCUCAGUGAUCUUCACCGAUUGUUGUUGUGAGCCGAUACAAAUUACUUUGAACAAAUUAGAGUGCUUAAAGCAGGCUUGUAACGCCUGAAUAUUUUGUGCAUGGAAUAAUGAAAUAGGACAUCUGUUCUACUUUCAUUGGUUUUUUAGACCAAGAUGUAAUGAUUAAUGGAAGCAGUUGGGGGCAUUAGUAUUACAACGCGAGAGGUGAAAUUCUUAGACCGUUGUAAGACUGACUAAAGCGAAAGCAUUUGCCAAAGAUGUUUUCAUUUAAUCAAGAACGAAAGUUAGAGGUUCGAAGGCGAUCAGAUACCGCCCUAGUUCUAACCAUAAACGAUGCCAGCUAGCAAUUGAGUGUAGCUACUUCUAUGGCUCUUUCAGUCGCUUCUCGGGAAACCAAAGCUUUUGGGCUCCGGGGGAAGUAUGGUUGCAAAGCUGAAACUUAAAGGAAUUGACGGAAGGGCACCACCAGGAGUGGAGCCUGCGGCUUAAUUUGACUCAACACGGGAAAACUUACCAGGUCCGAACAUAAAUGAGUAAGACAGAUUG